This 253-nucleotide ribosomal RNA is filed under the name uncultured bacterium. Its description in RNAcentral is "partial 16S ribosomal RNA". It matches the Rfam family "Bacterial small subunit ribosomal RNA", at positions 524 to 776 of the family's 1533-position model. The record is from RNAcentral.
UACGGAGGGGACUAGCGUUGUUCGGAAUUACUGGGCGUAAAGCGUACGUAGGCGGUUACUCAAGUCAGAGGUGAAAGCCCGGGGCUCAACCCCGGAACUGCCUUUGAAACUAGGUAGCUAGAAUCUUGGAGAGGUCAGUGGAAUUCCGAGUGUAGAGGUGAAAUUCGUAGAUAUUCGGAAGAACACCAGUGGCGAAGGCGACUGACUGGACAAGUAUUGACGCUGAGGUACGAAAGCGUGGGGAGCAAACAGG